AGUGAACGCUGGCGGCAGGCCUAACACAUGCAAGUCGAACGGCAACACAGUAAGCUCUUUCUCUUACGGUUGGCGAGUGGCGGACGGGUGAGGAAUACAUCGGCAUCUUCUUUUUCUUGGGUGAUUACGUAGGGCAACUUACGCUACUACCUCAUACGUCCUACGGGUUAAAUCAGUGGAUCUUCGGACCUUUCGUGUUUCUAUGAGCUGAUGUCGGAUUAGCUAGUUGGCGGGGUAAAGUCCCACCAAGGCGACGAUCCGUAGCUGGUCUGAGAGGAUGAUCAGCCACACUGGAACUGAGACACGGUCCAGACUCCUACGGGAGGCAGCAGUGGGGAAUAUUGGACAAUGGGCGCAAGCCUGAUCCAGCCAUACCGCGUGGGUGAAGAAGGCCUUCGGGUUGUAAAGCCCUUUUGUUGGGAAAGAAAAGCAGCAGGUUAAUACCCCGCUGUUCUGACGGUACCCAAAGAAUAAGCACCGGCUAACUUCGUG
RNAcentral lists this ribosomal RNA (492 nucleotides) under uncultured bacterium. RNAcentral describes it as "partial 16S ribosomal RNA". It matches the Rfam family "Bacterial small subunit ribosomal RNA", at positions 29 to 507 of the family's 1533-position model. The record is from RNAcentral.